Molecule: ribosomal RNA, 722 nt
Filed under: uncultured Fusobacterium sp.
Lineage: Bacteria; Fusobacteriati; Fusobacteriota; Fusobacteriia; Fusobacteriales; Fusobacteriaceae
Description: bacterial SSU rRNA
Rfam family: Bacterial small subunit ribosomal RNA
Source: RNAcentral
GAUGAACGCUGACAGAAUGCUUAACACAUGCAAGUCAACUUGAACUUCGGUUUGGGUGGCGGACGGGUGAGUAACGCGUAAAGAACUUGCCUCACAGAUAGGGACAACAUUUGGAAACGAAUGCUAAUACCUGAUAUUAUGAUUUUAGGGCAUCCUAGGAUUAUGAAAGCUAUAUGCGCUGUGAGAGAGCUUUGCGUCCCAUUAGCUAGUUGGAGAGGUAACGGCUCACCAAGGCGAUGAUGGGUAGCCGGCCUGAGAGGGUGAUCGGCCACAAGGGGACUGAGACACGGCCCUUACUCCUACGGGAGGCAGCAGUGGGGAAUAUUGGACAAUGGACCAAGAGUCUGAUCCAGCAAUUCUGUGUGCACGAUGAAGUUUUUCGGAAUGUAAAGUGCUUUCAGUUGGGAAGAAAAAAAUGACGGUACCAACAGAAGAAGUGACGGCUAAAUACGUGCCAGCAGCCGCGGUAAUACGUAUGUCACAAGCGUUAUCCGGAUUUAUUGGGCGUAAAGCGCGUCUAGGUGGUUAUAUAAGUCUGAUGUGAAAAUGCAGGGCUCAACUCUGUAUUGCGUUGGAAACUGUGUAACUAGAGUACUGGAGAGGUAAGCGGAACUACAAGUGUAGAGGCGAAAUUCGUAGAUAUUUGUAGGAAUGCCGAUGGGGAAGCCAGCUUACUGGACAGAUACUGACGCUGAAGCGCGAAAGCGUGGGUAGCAAACAGG